GGUCCACAUAGCUCGAUGGUUUAGAGCACUGGUCUUGUAAGAACAGGGUCGUGAGUUCAAUCCUCACUGGUAUUU
Molecule: non-coding RNA, 75 nt
Organism: Araneus ventricosus
Lineage: Eukaryota; Metazoa; Arthropoda; Arachnida; Araneae; Araneidae
Source: the annotation of a GenBank genome assembly